AAAAUGCGAUAAUUAGCGUGAAUUGCAGACGCUUUGAACGCCAAAUUUUCGAACGCACAUUGCGCCAUAGGAGUCUUACCCUAUGGCACAUCUGGUUGAGGGUCGUGAUCAAAAACAGCUAGGAUUGGGCUGUAUUAGAGCUAAUUGGUGGAUCAUCAUGCCGGCACACCAUGCCUAGUUGUCGGCGGUGUUCUACCAUAAUGCUUUUAGAGGGCAUCCUUAAGGGUGCUUCCUUACCACACGGACGGGCAGCCAAUGCAGACUGCAUUUGUGGGUCGGCCGUCAGGUAUUUGAUUCAUAGCCUUUCUUUUCGAAAGGGGGGCUUUAUACCUGUACGGUUUAAACCGAACCGUCGAUUGGUGUUAGGUCACCGUACGUGCU
RNAcentral lists this unclassified non-coding RNA (381 nucleotides) under uncultured fungus. Its description in RNAcentral is "sequence contains ITS1". The stretch from base 1 to 105 matches the Rfam family "5.8S ribosomal RNA", at positions 50 to 154 of the family's 154-position model. The record is from RNAcentral. Lineage: Eukaryota; Fungi.